UCUUUCUCUCUAAACGUCUUCUGCUCUCCCCUCAACCCUAAACUCUCCUACUCUUUCACUUCUCAUCCUCGAAAUUUCUAGAUCUACUCCAGGCUUGAAGAUUCUGCCUCAAUUUCAAGAAAUACGACAAAAUGCAAACGAAAUUUAAAGACUUUGAGGUUGUUCAACGAGUGCAAUGGAGGAUGUGCAGCAGCUACAAAUUUGCAAAUAGAGAGAAGGCUAGAGCUGCAAACUUAACCCCUCUGUCUCCGGAUUUACUCAAGGCUUUACGUGUUUGGAUACCAAAUUUAUAGUCCGUUUCAAUUACAGAAAUUUUAGGUCAUUGCCGCCUUUGGAGCUGCUAAACACGAGGAUGUUGUAGCACUUGUAGAACUAUAUUUUACAACAUUGUCAACAUAUCCAACAACUGCUCAAUUAAUUUUCCAUGAACCAGCUUCAUUCACUGGUCCAGAGGUAUCUAUAUAUAUAUAUAUAGUUUGUUGGUACUUUAUGUUUGAAAUAGUAUUUAACUUCCCCCUUAACAUAGUUUUUAUGUAAGCAUGUCUGUGUUUUUGUAUGAGAUCAGGUUAGAAUGAUUGAUGAUGAUAUUGAGUUGGCCCAAUUUACUGUUGACUUCAAUGGAGCAUCAGACACACAUCCGCAUGAUGUCGCCUUGAAUCGCAUUUUUUUAUUUAUUACUAUCACACCGUCAUUGCCGCAACUUUUCAUCAGAUAUGAGCUCGUUGAAUUGCAUUUUGUUAUAUUCCAGAUUGACGGUAAGUCAUUCUCCAUGGCUACCAGAAAUGCCUGCCAACUAUGGCCAAGCGUUUCAAGAUCAAAUAGUAUGUGAUGAACGGCGCCUAUGCGUAUUUUGUAAUUGAAGUUUAAUAGCAUGUAGUCAUAGGGAAUGCCUUCAUUUCUUAAUCGAUUUUAUUAAAAUUCACUAAUAAAUUAGAGUCGUUUUACUUUUAAAACCAUCAGUUAAAAGAUUUUGUUGAUGAUAAAGUAAGGGCGUUAGACUUUUGAAUUAGUCCUUUCUGAUGUGGAGCUGUGUAAUUGUCUAAGAACGACUCUUGUUUUAUUAUUAAAUCUGUGGUUUGUGGUGGAUUAUAUACUUGGAAUUUUUGACAUAGGGAUGGAUGCCUCUAAAAUAUAGGAUGGAAUUUAGGGUCUCUGUUACAGAUUAAAAUUCUUUUAGGUCUGAUGCUAUAUUGUAUUGAUAUUGUUAAUCUAUUUGUAGGGAUUGGAUUAUUCUACUUAUUCUUUUGAGACUAAUUUACAGUACUAGUUAAUUUAUGAAAUCAGAGGAUCACUUACCAAGUGAUUUUAGUUUCAAGGCUAAUACUGGAGAAGUUUAAAUUUUGAUUUCUUUUUUGUUGUUGUUUUGUUUUGAUAAACUGAAUCAGGUUUAUGCCAAUGUCUAUGGUUUGUAUCCGUAAAUUCAUGUGAUCUUGAACCUAGUUAAACUGAUGAGUAGCGACAAGAAGUUUUGUAUCCGAUAACAAUUCUUUUACCUUGAUAACAGGAUCUGGUUUGAAAUUAUUUUAUGAGUUUUGGUUGUACUGGGAGACGGUAUUUUAGUGAUGAUAGUUAUGUGCCAUUGGAGGUGGCUAGAAAGACCAAACAAAUAGUUGACAUGUUAAUGAAGAUGCCUAAUCAUCAACCUUAAUAACUUUAUGUUCUAGGAUGUAUUUUGUGGCUUAUGUUUUGGAAUUAUAUGCUUUUGAGGACUCAUUUUCUUGUGGGAUUGUUGGUGGAAGAAGAAGAAACUUCCGAAAGUCAUAUCCUCUAUAUCAGUCAGGCUUAGGACAGAGGUAUAAUCACUGCAUAAUUGCUAUGUGUUAGUUGUUAUUGAAUUCCUAAAUCAAAGUAUUUAAUGUGAAGAUUUCUAGGCAAUGAUUUUGGUUUUAAAUGGAUUACGAAGAGGAAUCAUUUUGUGAAGAAGCUUUCUUAUGUUUUAUGAAAUUUUAGCUAUAAUUCCUUUCUGCAUACUUUUAUAUUUGGUGUUAUGUAUAUUGAAAAGACUAGUAUUUCGGGUGUGUAUCGUGAGGAGAGGAGGAAGUUUCAUCAUCCUUUUUAUGUUUCCUGAAUUAAUUAGCAUUUGUAGUAUUUUAUUCGUUCCUGGAUUGAUAUUCGGUGAUGAUCUAGGAAAUUUUUGUGGUAAUUUGGCGGGGUGUUCCUUCCAUUCAUCCGCUGGUUAUAACGAGUAUUUUUUAUGUGUUGAUGUGAAUCCAAUAUUAAUUAAUUAGUUGAUUCAAUUUUUCUAUGCAGGAUGUGUGUGCGGUUUUGUCUUCUAAACACAUUUAUUUUUGUUGUUGCUGUAGUAAUUCUUCGAUGUGGAGGCUAAGCUAUUUGAGUCAUUCAACUCAUCCUGCAGUGACUCUAGUUGAGAUUCUCCAUACAAGUGUGUGGUUCUCUUAAGUGGUUGUAGAGUAUUAACACAUAAUGUAUAGCUUCCUAUCUGGUUGUUGAGUGUAGACUGAUACUUUAGUUUUUUGAAUAGAUCGUGUUAUAGAUUUGGUUUCAUUCUUUUUUUCACUAAUUUAACUUGACUUCCCCCCCCCCCCCCACCCCAAGGUUUAUCAUGUGAGAUGGAGGAUAUUCGGCAGCUCCAGAUCUACAGAUAGAGAGAAGGCUAGAAGCUGCAAACUUGGAUGCUUUAAUGUCAAUUAUGUAACUUAAUUAUAUGCCUUUGUAAUUAAUUGUAUUAGUAAUUUAAGGGAAUCAAAUGUUGCAAGUUAUGUAGUACAUUUGGCUUGUAACGUACACCGUAAAUAAAUA
Long non-coding RNA from Spinacia oleracea (spinach), 2760 nucleotides. RefSeq lists it as uncharacterized. The record is from RefSeq and is a predicted model, not a curated record. The transcript is spliced from 3 exons. NCBI's taxonomy places the organism in Eukaryota, Viridiplantae, Streptophyta, Magnoliopsida, Caryophyllales, Amaranthaceae.